Molecule: ribosomal RNA, 408 nt
Filed under: uncultured fungus
Lineage: Eukaryota; Fungi
Description: eukaryotic LSU rRNA
Source: RNAcentral
AGAGUUAAAUAGUACGUGAAAUUGUUGAAAGGGAAACGAUUGAAGUCAGUCAUGCUAGUGAAAAUUCAGUUUGGUGGGUUUUGGGUCAGGAGUUGAGGCAGGGUCAAACCGUUUCUCUUUUGGACUUGAGAUUUGUUAGAUGUACUUUUUCUUUGGCAGGUCAACGUCGGUUUCGGGGGUUGUAAAAUACUUGGGGGAAAGUAGCUCUGCUUCGGGAGAGUGUUAUAGACCCUGGGAGAUGCAGCCUGUGGGAUCGAGGAUUGCAGCAAAUGCCUUUUGGCUUGUCGCCUGUUCCUGGGUGUUACCUGUCUUGUGACAACAUUCUUGCCACCGGGGAGUACUAAUGCCUACUGUUUAGAGCGAUCGAAAAUUUUGCUAAGGAUGUUGACGUAAUGGCUUUAAACGACC